UCGGUCAAAAUUUGUCACUUCCCAUGUUAAGUUGACUGGACGUUUCCAGUAGUAGUGAACAACAUAUCAAAAUAUGGGAACACAUUUUUUUGGUAACUUUAUGCACUUGGGUUGGACUUAGCCAUUUACGUGCGUCUCCCCACUCCCCGUAAUUAUUUCUAAAUGUCACCAAAAUUAUUAAAUAUCUCAUGUAACGUUGUCUGGAUGUGUCGCGUUAUGGUUAACAACAUAUCAAAAGGUGGAAAACUUUUUUGGCGCAAAUGUGCUUUUACAAGUUGUUUACGCUUUGCUGUACGUUUGAAUUCGCGCGAUUCAUGCGCGCUUCACCCGGAAAACGGGCAGGGCGGAAGCCGGCCGGCAGCCGCAGCCUAACCUGCAACUUGGCCAUGUGCUUGUCGUGUUGUUUGUAAACAGAGUCAGUAUUUUCUCAUAUUUUUGUAGUUUUUAACUAUUUCUCAAAGUUUGAGUUAUUUUCCCUUAUUCACUCGGGUAUAGUGAAUUAGUAGAAAUGUUAGCAAAGCGAUUGAAAAGACCGAAUUGUUUAAAACAAAUCAAAUCUGAAAGCCAACCCCCUGCAACUCUCAAGAGAAGUUUUCGUGCAAUCUUUUCACAAAACUUUGUAAUAGUCAAGACUACCCUCAGUUAUUUUAGUGUUUCUAGUAUUGAGUGCAUUUCAAGAAACAACAUGCAGAGGAAAGUGUUGAACUUCAGUGUGGACCCAACCUGAUCUAUACUCAGGCAGCCACAAGGGUAUCGACCUGCUGAACUUUUCAAACAACAUCAAGCGGCCCAGCCAGUAUGAAAGAUGAGACUAACUUUAUGAAAAUAGCUGUCAUCAAAGGUACCAAUUCUAUCUAUCAAGAAAGUCCACUUCUGUUAUUAUUUUUGAAUUUUUUUUUAGCCUUUCCUUACAACAGGAAUAUCUGUGCUUUUACACUAAACCUUUUGUAUACCUAGACAAUUUCUGUAUUGAUCUGUUGUUCGAUUUAUCAAUAAAUAUGUCAAUUUUAUUUUAA
Frankliniella occidentalis (western flower thrips) is the source of this 1016-nucleotide long non-coding RNA. RefSeq lists it as uncharacterized. The transcript has 3 exons. The record is from RefSeq and is a predicted model, not a curated record. NCBI's taxonomy places the organism in Eukaryota, Metazoa, Arthropoda, Insecta, Thysanoptera, Thripidae.